Acyrthosiphon pisum (pea aphid) is the source of this 2213-nucleotide long non-coding RNA. RefSeq lists it as uncharacterized. NCBI's taxonomy places the organism in Eukaryota, Metazoa, Arthropoda, Insecta, Hemiptera, Aphididae. The record is from RefSeq and is a predicted model, not a curated record. The transcript is spliced from 4 exons.
AACAUAUUUUUUGGAUAAAAUUAUUUAUAGAUAGUAUUUGCACAUAUUUAACAAAUUCAUACUUAGUUGUUAUUUCUAUUUUGUGAAACUCAAAAUGUUAGCUUAAAUGUUCAAUUAUAAUCAACAUAAUUAUGGGAAUUUAAAAACUAGAACAAAGUAUUGUCACUUUUGAACAUUUUAUUAAGUAGGCACUGUACUGCAACAUUAUUUUAAAAUAAAGGUUAGAUAUUAACCAGGAAUGUGGAUAUUGCUAUUAUUUCACAAAAAUCUUGCAUGUGACUACUACAGUGAUAGUUUGAGAGAAGACUACCAGGGAAUUUAAUCUUGUGGAACAUAACAAACAUUCAUAUUGAAGACUUGUGCAUACAAUUAUUAUAACAAAACCUAAAAUGUCCAAUCAAUCUGUGAGAUAUAUUUUAUGGAUAAAAUAAUUUUUAGAUAGUAUUUACACAUAGUUGUAAGUAACAUAUUUCUGAAUGUUAUAACUAAACCUAAUUUUACAUAUUUAGUUGUAAAUAUUUAAUAUUAAGCCAUUGAAAUCGUGAAGACAAAUAUUUGUAAUAUUUAUAAGUAUUUUUAAUUUAAUAUCAUAAAGUUUAUUUUUUUUUUUACUCAACCUAGUUAGACAGCCAAAAGUAAGUGUCAAAUAAAACUAUUAGGUCCAAUAUUGUAAGAUGUUUUAAUUUAAAGAUAAUAAUUUUAGCUUAAUAUUCAAAUGUAAUUUUAAUUUUCAAUUAAUUCUACAUUUCAUUUGAAGUUGUAAAUUUUUUCAUAGAAGUAAUAAUUAUAUUUAAACUGUGCAUUAAUUUAAGAAUCUACAUUAAAACAUUAUUAAUAUUUUCAAUAAUUAAUACAGACCGUAAACAACUUUAUCUAUAGCUAUUGAAAUUGAAGUAGUGUGUCAUAUUAAAUUGUAAUUUGAAACUGCACCGUAAGCAAUAAGGUUUAUAUUAUAGUAUUAAUGUGGCCACUCUUCGAUAUUUGGUAGUUAUAGGUUAGGUUAGUUACAUUAAAGACAAGAGUUAUAUUCAGUGGUCGGGACGCUACUAGUUUUUUGUCACACGCUAAUGCUACGGCUAGUCCCCGAAAAAAAGUAGCUUGCACUUUAAAAUUUUCCAAUUGAAAAUUGAUAGUUUAUAGUUUGUACUGAUUUAAUAUUUGGUCACUAGACGGGUUUUAACUACGCAAGUUAAUCGUGGAUUAAACCCGAAAAAGGCAUUAAUAUACUCAUCAUUAUUAUAAUGUAAAUAAAUAAAUAUUAUAGUUGUUUUAACUAUCACCAAAUAAGUAUUGAAGGUAGCGAAAAAAUAAUGGUCAUUUUCGCUAUGCUAACUAAAAAUUACUAGCGCACUAAAGUAUAUCGCUACAAUGAGCGUGCUACUCCCGACCACUGGUUAUAUUAAACAAAUGUAUAUUUUCAUUAAAUAAAAUAUAAUUACAUUUAAUAAUUAAAAUGGUCAUUUACUUAUAUUUUAAUAAAUGUUCAAAAUAUUUAAAAAUAUUUACCCUUAAGCAUAUUUCCAUUUGCUUUAAAACUUCUUGGUGGGUUACUUUAAAUAACAUUUCCUUAGAGAUUGAUUCACAUGCCUCUACUAUUUUGUUUUGAAGUUCAUCUACAGUUAUAUAGACAACUUUUUUACUACAAUUUUCAUUGAUUGCUGUGAAUAACUAUGAGCUUAGCCAUGAAAUAAUCAUAAAAAAAAAAUAACUAAAAAAAGUGUUAAUAAAUGUUUUAAUAAUUAUAAAAUUUGAUUACUAACCUAAUAUGAUACAUAAUGGUGUAUGUGGAUUCUUAUAUAAAUGUACAAGAAUCAUAACAGUAUUUUUUAAAUUUAUUACUCGCUUACAUCUUACAUUUUUUUUUAUUGAAAAAAAACUAAAUGUAUUUGUAUCCUUGCAAAUGACUGUGUAUGUAUGGUUGUCAUCAUAAAGUUCAGUAUAUAACUUAACUGAUGUUGUAGCAUUAUUAUUAAACUGUAUGUAACAUUUAAACAUAUCCAUUUUUUCAACAUUAUAAUAUGACAUGAUUUAAAUUUAAUUAAAAACAAAAAUGCUUAAACGCUUAUGAUAUUACUGAUAUUAUUGCUCAUAGAAAAAAAAAGUAUUUUGUAAUAAAAUUGCUAGAUGCAAUACAAUGUAAUCAAAGUGUAUGAUAUUAAUUGGUAAUUUAUAUUUCCCCAAAAUGAAAAUAUAUUUGUUUUGUUUAGCAUGUA